RNAcentral lists this ribosomal RNA (253 nucleotides) under uncultured bacterium. Its description in RNAcentral is "partial 16S ribosomal RNA". It matches the Rfam family "Bacterial small subunit ribosomal RNA", at positions 524 to 776 of the family's 1533-position model. The record is from RNAcentral.
UACGUAGGGGGCGAGCGUUGUCCGGAGUUACUGGGCGUAAAGGGCAUGCAGGCGGUCGGACGCGUUUCGGGUGACAGCGGGUGGCUUAACUACCCGAGUGGUCGAAAGACGGUUUGACUUGAGGACGCGAGAGGGACACGGAAUUCCGGGUGGAGUGGUGAAAUGCGUAGAGAUCCGGAGGAACACCGAAGGCGAAGGCAGUGUCCUGGCGCGUAACUGACGCUGAGGUGCGAAAGCCGGGGGAGCGAACGGG